AAGGGACAAUGGAUAAGUAAGUGCUUGAAUAUAAAGUUUUAAAAUUAAAUUUUGAUCAAAAAUUGAUUUCUCUUUAGAUAAGCUAGAGAUAAAAUUAUUAAACAUACAAACUUUUAAAUCUGUAUACUUUAUUAUAUUUUAAGAUACUUUUGAAGAACUAAAUUAGAAAAUUUCCAUGGAUAUUAUAUUUUUUGAAAUCCAAAAAACAAAUAUUUAAUGACCACUUUUAUUAAAAUUAUUUUUUAUAAUACAGUACUUCACACUUUAAAAUAUGAUACGGUAUAAUAAUCUUUAUACGAUAAUUUAAUUAUAAGCUUAAUUAUAUUUCUUUUGUAUAAAUUGGAUAUUCUCAUGUUAUGUUUGGUUAUUCGAACUAUUUUAUUAACCGAACAACCUUAGAAUGAUCGACGCUCUACUAUAUAUGCAUACAUAGAUACACACACGUUUAAAUGAAUCAGUUUAUAACAAUUAUUAUCAGUUUAGUGAUAAAAUAAUAUUGGAUUAUAUCAAAGAUUAAGUCCAUCAUUUAUGUAUAUUCACAAGACAGCCUAAUAAUUCGUCACUGGACGUUAGUUUAAAAGUUCUUAAGUAGUACGCAGAUGGUAGUAUGUAGAAUCAAAUUCUGCUUACGUAUAAGGUAUACUCUCGUUUAUGCUUCUGUUCGAUAGCCCGUUAGAUCGAGACUGAUCCUAUGAAGGAGUCAGCUGAAUGGUCGCAUGGUAAAGCUUACAACUUGUAGGAUCUGUUGGCCUGGUAGCCGUGGUGGAAGUGAGCUGUUCUUCCAGUCUGGAGAAUCCGGGUUCAAUUCCCGGGUCCCAUAUUUCCCAAUUUUUUUCAGGAUAGAUACAGGCCCAGCGAUUGAAUCCAUCCUCCACUUGACGGCUGACAUAAUUAGGAAUGUGAGUGGCUGAUGAUGGCUGCCGCCAAAUAUAUAGCCUAUCCCUAGUGUAAUUCGGAUAUAUAAUUCAAAUUAAUCUAAAUCUAACCAAUAUUAUGGAACAUGUCGGAAUAUUUCAGAUCUGUGAAAAUAAACAUGCAUGUGAAUAUGUAUCGCAAAUAUAGUGAUCCGCAUCAAAAUAGUUUAUUAGUGAAUUUUAUCAUCAUCUAUAGUUUUACGCUUCUUUCCAACAAGAGAUUAUUAAACAGCAAGGUAUUUCAAUGCCCACUAUGGAGCGGCCAAAACUCUGAUGAGAUCGGCUGUCAGGUGAAACCAGAAUCCUUUCUAAAAUAAGUUCUGGAGGUGUAGGAUCCGGUCAUACCUCACUCCAGAACCUAUCACUCGAAUCCUUCAGAUUGUAAGGCAACACUUUACCAUGUGGCAUCGAGCCGAUUAAAUUGUAUCAACAAUAGGAAAACAUCAGUAACAAUCAACAGCAUCAGGAAAACGAUAUUGUAUGGAGAAAGUUAGAGCGAUGCUCAGAUGAUGUCAUUUCUUGUAUCUGAACCAAUUGAACAAACUGUUUUAUUGAUGGUAGCUUAAUCAUUAUGGCAGCACCGGACAUAAUAAUGUUGCAUAAUCUACUUUUGGAAAUACGAGUUAUUUUUACAGAAAGUAUAUACAGUAUAUAAUUCAUCUGAUUGAGAGAAUUUCGUGCCGUUUCAGAUUCAAUAAAAUUAGCUUUAGUCUACGCCAACCAGAGUAAUAGUAUCAGUUAUUAUACCUCACAUCCUUCUUGGACCAUUCUGAUACUUCUAUUGAACGACAAUUGGAAUAAUACUAGCCUAUCGUCGUCCUAGUUACCUCUAUUGUUGGCUUUUUGUCAUUCUUAAUUAUAUAAAUUGUAAAGGCGAACAACAAAAAUACAAUAAUUGAAUCAUGUUAUAUAAUAGAAAAUGCAGAAAAUAUAAAACUCGAAUAUAUAAAUUGAUGAAAAACAACGCGUUAAUUAUGACAAUUCCUAAAAAUAAAAUUUUGCAUCAGCGUUUUCCAAACUUUAAA
This 1939-nucleotide long non-coding RNA is filed under the name Androctonus crassicauda. Lineage: Eukaryota; Metazoa; Arthropoda; Arachnida; Scorpiones; Buthidae. The record is from RNAcentral.